This 496-nucleotide ribosomal RNA is filed under the name uncultured bacterium. RNAcentral's name for it is "partial 16S ribosomal RNA". It matches the Rfam family "Bacterial small subunit ribosomal RNA", at positions 29 to 507 of the family's 1533-position model. The record is from RNAcentral.
AUGAACGCUUGCGGCGUGCUUAAUACAUGCAAGUCGAACGAACAGACGAGGAGCUUGCUCCUCUGACGUUAGCGGCGGACGGGUGAGUAACACGUGGAUAACCUACCUAUAAGACUGGGAUAACUUCGGGAAACCGGAGCUAAUACCGGAUAAUAUAUUGAACCGCAUGGUUCAAUAGUGAAAGACGGUUUUGCUGUCACUUAUAGAUGGAUCCGCGCCGCAUUAGCUAGUUGGUAAGGUAACGGCUUACCAAGGCGACGAUGCGUAGCCGACCUGAGAGGGUGAUCGGCCACACUGGAACUGAGACACGGUCCAGACUCCUACGGGAGGCAGCAGUAGGGAAUCUUCCGCAAUGGGCGAAAGCCUGACGGAGCAACGCCGCGUGAGUGAUGAAGGUCUUCGGAUCGUAAAACUCUGUUAUUAGGGAAGAACAAAUGUGUAAGUAACUAUGCACGUCUUGACGGUACCUAAUCAGAAAGCCACGGCUAACUACGUG